GACGAACGCUGGCGGCGUGCUUAACACAUGCAAGUCGAACGGAAAGGCCCUGCUUUUGUGGGGUGCUCGAGUGGCGAACGGGUGAGUAACACGCGAGUAACCUGCCCUUGUCUUUGGGAUAACUUCAGGAAACUGGGGCUCAAACCGGAUAGGAGCUCCUGCAGCAUGGGGGGGGUUGGAAAGUUUCGGUGGUGGGGUAUGUGCUCGCGGCUUAUCGGCUUGUUAGGGGGGUAGUGGGUUACCAAGGCUAUGAAGGGAAGGCCGCCUGAGAGGGUGAGCGGCGACAUGGGGACUGAGGUACGGCACAGACUGCUACGGGAGGCAGCAGUGGGGAAUCUUGCGCAAUGGGCGGAAGCCUGAUGCAGCAGCGCCGCGUGCGGGAUGACGGCCUUCUUGUGGAAAACCACUUUCGCCUGUGACGAAGUGUGAGUGACGGUAAUGAAUAAAAAAGCACCGGCUAACUACGUG
This 468-nucleotide ribosomal RNA is filed under the name uncultured bacterium. RNAcentral's name for it is "partial 16S ribosomal RNA". It matches the Rfam family "Bacterial small subunit ribosomal RNA", at positions 28 to 507 of the family's 1533-position model. The record is from RNAcentral.